Molecule: ribosomal RNA, 460 nt
Filed under: uncultured bacterium
Lineage: Bacteria
Description: partial 16S ribosomal RNA
Rfam family: Bacterial small subunit ribosomal RNA
Source: RNAcentral
CCUACGGGGGGCAGCAGUGAGGAAUAUUGGUCAAUGGACGAGAGUCUGAACCAGCCAAGUAGCGUGAAGGAUGACUGCCCUAUGGGUUGUAAACUUCUUUUAUAUGGGAAUAAAACGUUCCACGUGUGGGAUUUUGUAUGUACCAUAUGAAUAAGGAUCGGCUAACUCCGUGCCAGCAGCCGCGGUAAUACGGAGGAUCCGAGCGUUAUCAGGAUUUAUUGGGUUUAAAGGGAGCGUAGGUGGAUUGUUAAGUCAGUUGUGAAAGUUUGCGGCUCAACCGUAAAAUUGCAGUUGAAACUGGCAGUCUUGAGUACAGUAGAGGUGGGCGGAAUUCGUGGUGUAGCGGUGAAAUGCGUAGAUAUCACGAAGAACGCCGAUUGCGAAGGCAGUUCACUGGACUGCAACUGACACUGAGGCGCGAAAGUGUGGGUAUCAAACAGGAGUAGAUACCCGUGUAGUC